AGUCUGUGUCCACCAUGGCCUGGACUCCUCUCCUCCUCGUGCUCCUGUCCCAUUGCACAGGUGCCCUCUCCCAGCCUUUGCUGACGCAGCCGCCCUCCCUGUCUGCAUCCCCGGGAGCAUCAGCCAGACUCCCCUGCACCCUGAGAAGUGACCUCGAUCUUGGUUACUAUCCGAUACAUUGGUUCCAGCAGAAGCCAGGGAGCCCUCCCCGGUAUCUCCUGAGUUUCAAGUCAGACUCAAAUAAACACCAGGGCUCCGGAGUCCCCAGCCGCUACUCUGGAUCCAAAGAUGCCUCAGCCCAUGCAGGGAUCCUGCACAUCUCUGGGCUGCAGGCUGAGGACGAGGCUGACUAUUACUGUCUGAUAUGGCACGAUGACUCUAAUGCUCACACAGUGCUCCAGACCCAGGGGGAAGUGAGACAAAAACCUCCUGUCUGCUCUCUGGACCUGAUGCAGUCCCCCCUGCUGGUGGCCCUGACAAGCUCAGCUCAGGGGGAACUGAUCUGCAUCUUUUUCUCCUUGGUUCCCCACUGGAGCUUCUCAGCUCCUUGCUGA
Molecule: non-coding RNA, 554 nt
Organism: Otolemur garnettii (small-eared galago)
Lineage: Eukaryota; Metazoa; Chordata; Mammalia; Primates; Galagidae
Source: the annotation of a RefSeq genome assembly